AGAGUUUGAUCAUGGCUCAGAACGAACGCUGGCGGCAUGCCUAACACAUGCAAGUCGAACGAGACCUUCGGGGUCUAGUGGCGCACGGGUGCGUAACGCGUGGGAAUCUGCCCUUGGGUUCGGAAUAACAGCGAGAAAUUGCUGCUAAUACCGGAUGAUGACGUAAGUCCAAAGAUUUAUCGCCCAAGGAUGAGCCCGCGUCUGAUUAGUUAGUUGGCGGGGUAACGGCCCACCAAGACGAUGAUCAGUAGGGGUUCUGAGAGGAAGGUCCCCCACACUGGCACUGAGAUACGGGCCAGACUCCUACGGGAGGCAGCAGUAGGGAAUAUUGGGCAAUGGUCGGAAGACUGACCCAGCCAUGCCGCGUGAAGGAUGAAGGGUCUACGACUUGUAAACUUCUUUAGCUAGGGAAGAAAAAGAGAGUGCGCUCUUUAUUGACGGUACCUAGAGAAUAAGCACCGGCUAACUACGUG
Molecule: ribosomal RNA, 473 nt
Filed under: uncultured bacterium
Lineage: Bacteria
Description: bacterial SSU rRNA
Rfam family: Bacterial small subunit ribosomal RNA
Source: RNAcentral